Molecule: long non-coding RNA, 405 nt
Organism: Nerophis lumbriciformis (worm pipefish)
Lineage: Eukaryota; Metazoa; Chordata; Actinopteri; Syngnathiformes; Syngnathidae
Source: RefSeq, a predicted model, not a curated record
AUUGUUUGCGUCUUCACUCUUCUUAAACAUUGCCUGUGUUUUCCAGCCUGUUUUCAGUUUUCAGAGUACAGAGCAUUGAUGGCCUCAAGAUCUCAACCCUCUUAUUCGCUUGAAACACGAGAAAGUAGCACCUUCUACUGACUUCUACUUAAUUCUGAUUGACCAGGGUGUACAGAGCUCAGAGAAGAAGCACAGUGGCUGGGAAACCUCGAAAACCAAGUCUGCAGUUUGGGGCGCCAGGACAGCAUUGUGGGGAAAGAGAGGUUAUCAGGUGACCAUAGUUGAGGCGGGAGCUGUUCAAAGUCGGGGCCCGGGGUUGACCACUCCUCUGUGCAUCAGUUGGGGACUGCACCGCUGACUUGUCUCCAUUCAAGAUGAUCUCCUGCUGGCCCCACUAUGGACUGG